RNAcentral lists this ribosomal RNA (460 nucleotides) under uncultured bacterium. RNAcentral's name for it is "partial 16S ribosomal RNA". It matches the Rfam family "Bacterial small subunit ribosomal RNA", at positions 338 to 795 of the family's 1533-position model. The record is from RNAcentral.
CCUACGGGUGGCUGCAGUGAGGAAUAUUGGUCAAUGGACGCAAGUCUGAACCAGCCAUGCCGCGUGCAGGAAGACGGCUCUAUGAGUUGUAAACUGCUUUUGUACGAGGGUAAACGCAGAUACGCGUAUCUGUCUGAAAGUAUCGUACGAAUAAGGAUCGGCUAACUCCGUGCCAGCAGCCGCGGUAAUACGGAGGAUUCAAGCGUUAUCCGGAUUUAUUGGGUUUAAAGGGUGCGUAGGCGGUAGGAUAAGUUAGAGGUGAAAUCCCGAGGCUCAACGUCGGAAUUGCCUUUGAUACUGUUAGGCUAGAGAGUAGUUGAGGUAGGCGGAAGUCAUGGUGUAGCGGUGAAAUGCUUAGAGAUCAUACAGAACACCGAUUGCGAAGGCAGCUUACUAAGCUACUUCUGACGUUGAGGCACGAAAGCGUGGGGAGCAAACAGGAUUAGAUACCCCAGUAGUC